This 478-nucleotide ribosomal RNA is filed under the name uncultured bacterium. Its description in RNAcentral is "partial 16S ribosomal RNA". It matches the Rfam family "Bacterial small subunit ribosomal RNA", at positions 28 to 523 of the family's 1533-position model. The record is from RNAcentral.
GACGAACGCUGGCGGCGUGCUUAACACAUGCAAGUCGAACGGUAAGGCCCUUCGGGGUACACGAGUGGCGAACGGGUGAGUAACACGUGGGUGGUCUGCCCUGCACUUCGGGAUAAGCCUGGGAAACUGGGUCUAAUACCGGAUAGGACCACUGCCUGCAUGGGUGGUGGUGGAAAGCUUUUGCGGUGUGGGAUGGGCCCGCGGCCUAUCAGCUUGUUGGUGGGGUGAUGGCCUACCAAGGCGACGACGGGUAGCCGGCCUGAGAGGGUGACCGGCCACACUGGGACUGAGAUACGGCCCAGACGCCUACGGGAGGCAGCAGUGGUGAAUAUUGCACAAUGGGCGCAAGCCUGAUGCAGCGACGCCGCGUGAGGGAUGACGGCCUUCGGGUUGUAAACCUCUUUCAGCACCGACGAAGCGCAAGUGACGGUAGGUGCAGAAGAAGGACCGGCCAACUACGUGCCAGCCGCCGCGGUAA